This is a long non-coding RNA of Camelus dromedarius (Arabian camel), 1802 nucleotides long. RefSeq lists it as uncharacterized. The record is from RefSeq and is a predicted model, not a curated record. The transcript is spliced from 4 exons. NCBI's taxonomy places the organism in Eukaryota, Metazoa, Chordata, Mammalia, Artiodactyla, Camelidae.
CUGAAUUAUAUUAUGUUAUGUUAUAUUAUAUUAUAUUAUAUUAUAUUAUAUUAUAUUAUAUUAUAUAUGUAUAUAUUGAUGUAAUUCUGUAGAUAGAGGUCAUAGAGUUUCCUUGUUGAGACUUGCUCUUAGAUUCUUCUUUUGUUUCUUCUCUCGCCUGUGUUCUAUCUGAUUUGUUCCUAUUGCCCCUCUGCCACCAACGAGCAUCUUGGCUUUAAAAAAGUACAAAGGAAAGAGAUUGAGCUUCUUGAUCAGAAGGCUUGAGUUUGAGUCCAACUUCUGCUACUCAACUAGCUAUGUAUGGGACCGUAAGUAAGAGACGUGAAUUUUUUUUUUAAUUGUGGGGUUUUUUUUUUUGGAGGGGGUAGGUACUUAGGUUUAUUUAUUUUUAAUGGAGUUACUGGGGAUUGAACCCAGGACCCUGUGUAUGCCAAGCACGCAUUCUACCACUGAGCUAUAUCAUCCCCCCAACACGAAUAUCUUGAGAUUCAGUUGUCUUCUGUGUAAAAUAAGGAUGCUGAUUCCUAUUCUUACAGCUUUAUAGGAAUAUUGUUAAUGCCAAGUGGAAUGAAGCUACUCUGUGACUUGGAAAAUCAUUCUGAGGAGAAAACAGCCUUGACUCAGAUGGUGAGAAAGAGACACAAAGGUGUUAAACAGAACUCUGAAGUGUGAGCUACAAAGGAAGACAUCUCCAACCUCAGCAUCCUCUUUGCAUCAUUUGUUUCCCCAUCUGUAAGAUGAGAAGCACCGCCAGGGCCCUGGGAGGAAAAACUAAGACAAACAGACCAAGAUGCUGGCGGCAGAUAUGUUCUCUGUGGUUUCUAUGGUAAUAAUUCUGGGCUGAAGGGGAUUGUCACUAAAAGAGAGAAUUUUCCUCAAGAAAACCCCCAGUCUAGCAGUCUCUGGUUUGUCAUUGAAAUGCAGAAGCUGAACUGGGCACACAUUUUUUGCAGUAAAGAAAGAAAUGGCAGACAAAUGUUAGCUCUUUCAUUCAGGAUAACAUCUGUGGAAUACUGACCACGUGCCAAGGUGCCAGCAUUUUAAUAGGUGGCAAGACUACAAAGAUGGAAAGGGUAGAUUUAGCCUUAAACAAGUGUAGAAGGGAAAGCCACUAAUCACAACCACACGAGACAGAGGCAGAAGGAGCCUGGAACGCAGGGGAAAAGAUGUCUGCACGAGGUCCACGAAGGGGCCGACAGGUGAGCUGGUUCCUGGCGGUGCUCAAUGAAGAGGUGCCGCUAGCAAAAUGCAGAGUGGGAGGACAUGGAAGGAGAAUGUCUCCACUUUGGCAUUAAGUCUUAAGUCAGACCAUUAGAAUGUCAGUUCCUUAGAAGCUGACACCAUGUUUGAUUCAUCUUUGUCUGUCCUGGGGACUUUUCCCAGAACUCUGCCCCCAGUGGAACCCCAACAGACCUCUGUGUUUAAUUCACUCCCUUGUCUAGAAGGAUUCAGUAGCUUUCCACUGAUGAUGAAUAAAUUCCGGACCCCUCUUCUGGACUCUGAAGCCCUGUAUAAUCUCUAUUAAUCGUGAACUGCUUUGCCCUUCCCCGGCUCGAAUCUGUGACUCAUCACGCGACUGGCUGUUUCUCAUCCUCAGGUUUCCACGUAAACGUUCUCUCCUCGGAGCCGUCUUGCUUCAUCAGCUAGUCUGAGCAGGCUCCUCAUACUCCAUCCUGAUUUUCCCAAUUAUUGUACCCUAUUCCUAAAAUAUCUAUUGAAUAAAUUAAAUGUUGAUUGGAAUGAUAAUAGUAAUAAUAAAAACUAAAAUUUACUGGGUGCUUAGAAUAUGCUUGGCAUUACGC